This 394-nucleotide ribosomal RNA is filed under the name Mantella betsileo. RNAcentral's name for it is "partial 12S ribosomal RNA". The record is from RNAcentral. Lineage: Eukaryota; Metazoa; Chordata; Amphibia; Anura; Mantellidae.
CACAUGCAAGUCUCAGCAAACCAGUGAGGACGCCCUUACUUCCUUCACCAGUUAAAGGAGCUGACAUCAGGCACAGAAUACUCGCCCACAACGUCUAGUCCCAUCACACCCACAAGGGUUUUCAGCAGUGAUAAAGAUUGUCUAUAAGCGUCAGCUUGAAUCAGUUAAAGAAAAGAGAGCCGGCCAACCUGGUGCCAGCCGCCGCGGCUACACCGUGGGGCUCAAAUUGAUUACAAUCGGCGUUAAGCGUGAUUAAAGUUAUUGUUAAUUAGAGUUAAAUUACAACUACCCGUGAAAAGCCUGUUAUUAAGAAAUCCAUAAACGAAAGUUACUCUAAUAGUGUACUUGAACCCACGACAGCUAGACCACAACUGGGAUUAGAUACCCCACUAUG